RNAcentral lists this ribosomal RNA (618 nucleotides) under Kineosporia sp. Ri2Ps_5163. RNAcentral describes it as "bacterial SSU rRNA". It matches the Rfam family "Bacterial small subunit ribosomal RNA", at positions 395 to 1024 of the family's 1533-position model. The record is from RNAcentral. Lineage: Bacteria; Bacillati; Actinomycetota; Actinomycetes; Kineosporiales; Kineosporiaceae.
CGCCGCGUGAGGGAUGAAGGCCCCCGGGUCGUAAACCUCUUUCAGCAGGGAAGAAGCGCAAGUGACGGUACCUGCAGAAGAAGCACCGGCUAACUACGUGCCAGCAGCCGCGGUAAUACGUAGGGUGCAAGCGUUGUCCGGAAUUAUUGGGCGUAAAGAGCUGUAGGCGGUCUGUCGCGUCUGCUGUGAAAACCUAGGGCUUAACUCUGGGCGUGCAGUGGGUACGGGCAGGCUAGAGUGCGGUAGGGGAGACUGGAAUUCCUGGUGUAGCGGUGAAAUGCGCAGAUAUCAGGAGGAACACCGGUGGCGAAGGCGGGUCUCUGGGCCGUAACUGACGCUGAGGAGCGAAAGCAUGGGGAGCGAACAGGAUUAGAUACCCUGGUAGUCCAUGCCGUAAACGUUGGGCGCUAGGUGUGGGGCACAUUCUACGUGUUCUGCGCCGCAGCUAACGCAUUAAGCGCCCCGCCUGGGGAGUACGGCCGCAAGGCUAAAACUCAAAGGAAUUGACGGGGGCCCGCACAAGCGGCGGAGCAUGCGGAUUAAUUCGAUGCAACGCGAAGAACCUUACCAAGGCUUGACAUGGGAUGAAAACUCGUAGAGAUACGGGGUCUCGCAAGG